RNAcentral lists this ribosomal RNA (1123 nucleotides) under Bifidobacterium breve. RNAcentral describes it as "bacterial SSU rRNA". It matches the Rfam family "Bacterial small subunit ribosomal RNA", at positions 23 to 1151 of the family's 1533-position model. The record is from RNAcentral. Lineage: Bacteria; Bacillati; Actinomycetota; Actinomycetes; Bifidobacteriales; Bifidobacteriaceae.
CUCAGGAUGAACGCUGGCGGCGUGCUUAACACAUGCAAGUCGAACGGGAUCCAUCAGGCUUUGCUUGGUGGUGAGAGUGGCGAACGGGUGAGUAAUGCGUGACCGACCUGCCCCAUGCACCGGAAUAGCUCCUGGAAACGGGUGGUAAUGCCGGAUGCUCCAUCAUACCGCAUGGUGUGUUGGGAAAGCCUUUGCGGCAUGGGAUGGGGUCGCGUCCUAUCAGCUUGAUGGCGGGGUAACGGCCCACCAUGGCUUCGACGGGUAGCCGGCCUGAGAGGGCGACCGGCCACAUUGGGACUGAGAUACGGCCCAGACUCCUACGGGAGGCAGCAGUGGGGAAUAUUGCACAAUGGGCGCAAGCCUGAUGCAGCGACGCCGCGUGAGGGAUGGAGGCCUUCGGGUUGUAAACCUCUUUUGUUAGGGAGCAAGGCACUUUGUGUUGAGUGUACCUUUCGAAUAAGCACCGGCUAACUACGUGCCAGCAGCCGCGGUAAUACGUAGGGUGCAAGCGUUAUCCGGAAUUAUUGGGCGUAAAGGGCUCGUAGGCGGUUCGUCGCGUCCGGUGUGAAAGUCCAUCGCUUAACGGUGGAUCCGCGCCGGGUACGGGCGGGCUUGAGUGCGGUAGGGGAGACUGGAAUUCCCGGUGUAACGGUGGAAUGUGUAGAUAUCGGGAAGAACACCAAUGGCGAAGGCAGGUCUCUGGGCCGUUACUGACGCUGAGGAGCGAAAGCGUGGGGAGCGAACAGGAUUAGAUACCCUGGUAGUCCACGCCGUAAACGGUGGAUGCUGGAUGUGGGGCCCGUUCCACGGGUUCCGUGUCGGAGCUAACGCGUUAAGCAUCCCGCCUGGGGAGUACGGCCGCAAGGCUAAAACUCAAAGAAAUUGACGGGGGCCCGCACAAGCGGCGGAGCAUGCGGAUUAAUUCGAUGCAACGCGAAGAACCUUACCUGGGCUUGACAUGUUCCCGACGAUCCCAGAGAUGGGGUUUCCCUUCGGGGCGGGUUCACAGGUGGUGCAUGGUCGUCGUCAGCUCGUGUCGUGAGAUGUUGGGUUAAGUCCCGCAACGAGCGCAACCCUCGCCCCGUGUUGCCAGCGGAUUAUGCCGGGAACUCACGGGGGACCG